RNAcentral lists this ribosomal RNA (499 nucleotides) under uncultured bacterium. Its description in RNAcentral is "bacterial SSU rRNA". It matches the Rfam family "Bacterial small subunit ribosomal RNA", at positions 899 to 1397 of the family's 1533-position model. The record is from RNAcentral.
ACUCAAAUGAAUUGACGGGGGCCCGCACAAGCAGUGGAGCAUGUGGUUUAAUUCGAAGCAACGCGAAGAACCUUACCAGGUCUUGACAUCCUCUGACAACUCUAGAGAUAGAGCCUUCCCCUUCGGGGGACAGAGUGACAGGUGGUGCAUGGUUGUCGUCAGCUCGUGUCGUGAGAUGUUGGGUUAAGUCCCGUAACGAGCGCAACCCUUAAUCUUAGUUGCCAGCAUUCAGUUGGGCACUCUAAGGUGACUGCCGGUGAUAAACCGGAGGAAGGUGGGGAUGACGUCAAAUCAUCAUGCCCCUUAUGACCUGGGCUACACACGUGCUACAAUGGGUGGUACAAAGGGAAGCGAAGCCGCGAGGUGGAGCCAAUCCCAUAAAGCCACUCUCAGUUCGGAUUGCAGGCUGCAACUCGCCUGCAUGAAGCCGGAAUUGCUAGUAAUCGCGGAUCAGCAUGCCGCGGUGAAUACGUUCCCGGGCCUUGUACACACCGCCCGU